Molecule: long non-coding RNA, 714 nt
Organism: Quercus robur (English oak)
Lineage: Eukaryota; Viridiplantae; Streptophyta; Magnoliopsida; Fagales; Fagaceae
Exons: 2
Source: RefSeq, a predicted model, not a curated record
UGAAGAAUAUAUGAAGAUAAUAUAAUCUAACGGUGGAUUUAUCAAAAUUCACAUCUAAUUAAAAUAUAUUGAGUGGUGUAAUAUUGCUUAAAGUUACACUAGGUGUAACUUGAACUCAAUCCUCUAUAUAUAUAUAUAAAUAUAAGUAAAUUCAUUUCAAUCGUCUUGUCAAAAUAAAUAAAUAAAUAAAUUUACAAAAAGCUUUAUGGUCCGUUUGGAUUGAACUUAUUUUUGCUGAAACUGAAAAUUGAAAAUACUAUAGCAAAAUAAUUUUUAAAUGUGUGAAUCAAGAAGUCUCAAAAUGAAGGCCAUUCUCAUUGUCUGCCUUCUCUUGGCUUCCAUAUUUUUCAUUCCUUCUUCAAAUGCAGCAUCAGAAAAGUGUAAUCCAUAUAUUCGUGGAUCUUGUCGCUCGAAGCCGCCAGCUCAACCCUUGAAGCCAGUUGCUCCACCGUUGAAGCCGCCAACUCCACCAACGCCAGGUCCACCCUAUAGGAGGCCAAGCCCGCCAUUCAAUAGGCCACCUCGAUCUGGAUGUAACCGAUAUAACCGUUGCCCACAUUCAACCCCUUAAGAAAUGAAGCACCAUGGUUCAAUAAUAAUUAAGCAUUAGGUUGCUUAUUAUCGUGGAGAGAAGUUAAGAAUAAAGUGGGUUUUAUGUGAUAUAUGGUUUGGGCUUUAUGAUGCCUCUUAUAAUUAGUUCCUAGUUAUGUAUUA